CUUUAAUACUAUCUCAAACUAAAGGAUAUAGAAGGUUUUCCCUUUCUCUUGCCCUGAAACCUUCUGUAUCCUUUAUUUUGAGAUAGUAUUAGAA
MicroRNA precursor from Homo sapiens (human), 94 nucleotides. The record is from Ensembl. NCBI's taxonomy places the organism in Eukaryota, Metazoa, Chordata, Mammalia, Primates, Hominidae.